This 1323-nucleotide long non-coding RNA is filed under the name Calidris pugnax (ruff). RNAcentral describes it as "lncRNA (ENSCPUG00000012078.1)". Lineage: Eukaryota; Metazoa; Chordata; Aves; Charadriiformes; Scolopacidae. The record is from RNAcentral.
AAGGAAUUAAAAGCCAUAAUAUUGAAACAGAAAAUCUAAAUCUUUUUCUGAAACGACACACAAGCACUCUGGUCUUCCAUGCAUGGUUAAUUUCUCUGUGCUUCAGGUUUCACUUCUUGCAUCACUGCUGAUACCUCAGGUGGUUCAAGCCCAGGCUUCUCCCUCAGCAUGCUGUCCAUACUGUAGCUGUUGAAUGGGGCAGCACAGAGCUACAGCCAUGACUCUGCUGUUUCGAGAGGGAUCUCCUCAAGCAACACCCACCACUGUGGAAGAUCAAGCAGACAGGAGAGGCGGGGAAGGCAGUAUCCCAGGGACCUGCCCCAAAAGGUGUAUCUUCCUGCAGGAACAUGCCCAGGCUUCAGUGCUAUUCACCUCAGGAGUGGUCAAUCACACCCCAAGCUGGACUGCUUAUGGAGCGGACUUGUUUUGAUAAAGGGAAAAAGGCAAGCUGAUUCUUAGUAGAUUGCAUUGCUAAAUUUUUGGGUGGAGAAGAAGCAAUUCCUUGAGAGAAUUACAUCUUCAGAUGAUGUCAUGAGGACCAUCACUUCAGGGUUUUAUUGCUCCCUAAGUAAUGUACUGUCUGCCCUUUCCCAGGAAUCUAGUUUUAUACAAUCGACAAACAGCAGGGGAGCAAAAAAUAUCAUUUGCAGGACAUCGUAAACUCACACAAGUAAAUGUGGACACAAACUAUAAGUCAGCUAGUACAUUUACAGAUGUUCAUUCUUAUCCAGCUAUAGCUACUGUACCUCAGAGGUCUUGCAAACGUGGUGCAGAGGCUGCUUUGCCAUGUUGCAUGGAGAAGUAAUGAAGUCACAUGAUGCUGUUGUUUCCAUCUUUUUUUUUCCCAGCUGCUAAAUUAUAUUAUAACGCACUAAAUAGAUGCUCAAUAUUUUCCUUAUAAAAAUUUAUCAUGUAGCAAUUAGUGCAGUUAAACUCAGUGCGGAUAUGUGAUUGUAAAUGGGAGGUGGCAAUCAGCAUAAUUAGAAAAGGAAAAGAUGUGCCUGCAAAACAGCCUCUGCAUUGCAAUAUUGCCCACACUAUAAACACCUCACCACGUGGUGUGUCCCUUCUUAGUUACACAGUGUAAGUCCUCUGUUGAUUCAGGCUUGAAUUACACAGUAAAUCUUGUUUGUGAAUUUAUAGACUGUCCCUUUGAAGGCAGAAUUGUGCCAGCCUAUUUAUUUAGAGUCCUUUUUUCACUGCAGCAGCAUGCUUUUCAGAUGUAAUACCUUAGCACAAAAUCCCUGAGUGACAGCAGCUCUGCAGGCUCAUGAUACUUAUAAUACAUUAUAUAUUAUCAAUAAAAUGUUGCAAGACAUGUCA